Molecule: long non-coding RNA, 899 nt
Filed under: Triticum aestivum (bread wheat)
Lineage: Eukaryota; Viridiplantae; Streptophyta; Magnoliopsida; Poales; Poaceae
Description: long non-coding RNA (TAES_LNC027925)
Source: RNAcentral
UGUUGCAUUAUUUCACAGAAACCAUAUGAGAAUAUAUUUAUAUGACAACAUCAAACUUCAUAUAGCAUCAUCAGUUCCAUACAUAUAUAAUUACACUACAAGGCUACAAAGGUACCAUCCACAAAAGGAUCUGCUAACUACAAUAAUACUAGCAAAAUACACCGGCUUGCAACUACCACCAGAUGUAUCAACAUCAGUUCCAUACAUACACUACAAGGCUACAAAGGUACCAUCCACAAAAGGAUCUGCCAACUACAACAAUACUAGCAAAAUACGCCGGCUUGCAACUACCACCAGAUCUUAGUUCACAUUCCUAAGCCAUACCAGAUACACAAGUCCACAAAAGAGCAUAUUACGACCACAUAUAGUCUGAUGUUAUCAUGUUGAUUGAGCAAUCAGUUUCCGCCAUGGUUGGCUGCGUCAACGGUCUGAUCGCCGACAUUCCCAGCGGCUUCAUCCUCCUUGCUUGACUCCAUGACAUUAUUGUUGCCAUCAACCGCUUGCGAGCCGGCUUGAGAUGAGUUAUUUGUCCCCUGAAUCAAGAAGUAACCUAAUUGUUAUUUAAUCUGAUUUAGAACAAUAAAAAUACAAUACUUUGUUGGAUAACAAGUGGAGACAACAUAACCAAAUGAACCAAAUAAUAUCCAUUUAUUGAUUAAUGCUUGGCACCAAGAACUGAUUUUGUCUAGGCUACUUUCAAGUUCCAAUCAGAUGGACCUUAAGCAUGACAAGCAUUAUUUAUACGGAAAUUGGGCACAACAGCUAAAGAAUCUUGUGAGAAUAGACAAGCUCACAGAUGCAAACAUCCAAACAAAUUAAUACAAAACAUGAAAAACAAUCUCAUAUGCAACACAGUGUUGAUAUUGCAGCCACAUCAACGUAGACAUGUCAGAAGGAAC